Molecule: ribosomal RNA, 482 nt
Filed under: uncultured bacterium
Lineage: Bacteria
Description: partial 16S ribosomal RNA
Rfam family: Bacterial small subunit ribosomal RNA
Source: RNAcentral
AUUGAACGCUGGCGGCAUGCCUUACACAUGCAAGUCGAACGGUAACAGGUCUUCGGAUGCUGACGAGUGGCGCACGGGUGAGUAAUACAUCGGAACGUGCCCGAUCGUGGGGGAUAACGAGGCGAAAGCUUUGCUAAUACCGCAUACGAUCUACGGAUGAAAGCGGGGGAUCUUCGGACCUCGCGCGGACGGAGCGGCCGAUGGCAGAUUAGGUAGUUGGUGGGAUAAAAGCUUACCAAGCCGACGAUCUGUAGCUGGUCUGAGAGGAUGAUCAGCCACACUGGGACUGAGACACGGCCCAGACUCCUACGGGAGGCAGCAGUGGGGAAUUUUGGACAAAGGGCGAAAGCCUGAUCCAGCCAUGCCGCGUGCAGGAUGAAGGCCUUUGGGUUGUAAACUGCUUUUGUACGGAACGAAAAGCCUCUUUCUAAUAAAGAGGGGUCAUGACGGUACCGUAAGAAUAAGCACCGGCUAACUACGUG